Molecule: long non-coding RNA, 290 nt
Organism: Ornithorhynchus anatinus (platypus)
Lineage: Eukaryota; Metazoa; Chordata; Mammalia; Monotremata; Ornithorhynchidae
Exons: 2
Source: RefSeq, a predicted model, not a curated record
GCCACACAGAAGAAUCCCAGCAGCUCUGCCGAGAACACUGCUGAGGUUCAGAGUGCCUAGGUAUUUUUGUUUCCUGAAUGCCUUAUUCACCUGCACUGUCUUUAUGCCAACUUGUCAUAUGCACUGCAAUUGGACUUCCAUGACAGCUUGUCUAUGAGAUGUUGCCCGCAAGUUGCAGACAAUCACCAAAAUAAACAAUUGACACAGAUGUCAAUCCUCUUUCUCUCUCCACCCCGAUCCCCAUGAAGAUUUUUUUUUUAAACCAUUAAAAGGAAAAUGCUUCAUGUCAA